AGGGUUCGAUUCUGGCUCAGGAUGAACGCUGGCGGCGUGCCUAACACAUGCAAGUCGAACGGGGUUUAUAAUAUGAAGUUUCGGACGGAAUAUUGUAAACCUAGUGGCGGACGGGUGAGUAACGCGUGGGCAACCUGCCCCAUACAGGGGGAUAACAGCCGGAAACGGCUGCUAAAACCGCAUGAAACUGCGCUGCCGCAUGGCGGUGCAGCCAAAUAUUUAUAGGUAUGGGAUGGGCCCGCGUCUGAUUAGCUAGUUGGUAAGGUAGCGGCCUACCAAGGCGACGAUCAGUAGCCGGCUUGAGAGAGUGACCGGCCACAUUGGGACUGAGACACGGCCCAAACUCCUACGGGAGGCAGCAGUGGGGAAUAUUGCACAAUGGGGGAAACCCUGAUGCCAGCGACGCCGCGUGAGUGAAGAAGUAUUUCGGUAUGUAAAGCUCUAUCAGCAGGGAAGAUAAUGACGGUACCUGACUAAGAAGCCCCGGCUAACUACGUGCCAGCCGCCGC
RNAcentral lists this ribosomal RNA (509 nucleotides) under uncultured bacterium. RNAcentral's name for it is "bacterial SSU rRNA". It matches the Rfam family "Bacterial small subunit ribosomal RNA", at positions 8 to 518 of the family's 1533-position model. The record is from RNAcentral.